This is a non-coding RNA of Coffea arabica (coffee), 1726 nucleotides long. The record is from RefSeq and is a predicted model, not a curated record. NCBI's taxonomy places the organism in Eukaryota, Viridiplantae, Streptophyta, Magnoliopsida, Gentianales, Rubiaceae.
UAAAACGUUGUUCCACAUAUUAGGGUUUCCUCUGCUUCUUUUGCCUACUUUAGACCUCCGCCGCUUCUGCUUCCAAUCCUGUCCUUCCUUCUUUAUUUUCUUUUUUGUUCUUUUGUUUUUCAUCUUCAUCUAUCUAUCGAAUAGAAAACUUGAUCCUUUCCUUCUUCUCGGCCACCACUUCUCAAAUCCCCCAAUUCCCCCAAGCCCUAACGACAACCACCACCACCACCGCUUCAAUUCUUUCUUGGCGUUGAUUUUGGGAGGGGUCAGGUUUCGGCUGGACGGCUUGCUUGAGGAAGAGGAGUGGCCGGAGAACGAAGAGGGAUAAAUGCUUCAGCAAUUAGCUCUGUCUAUAAAAAACAGAAAAGGAAAAAAAAUUAAAAAAGAAGACGAUGGUGGCAAUUUGGGUUCUUAUACAAGGGUUUGUUUUCCAAAAGGCUUUGGAAGAACUGGAUGUUUGGAUGCUAGAGUCAUCUUGCUAUCAAUGAUCCAUUUAUCACCACUGAUUACAUGUUUAUAGAUGAAAAUGGACGAAGGCAACAUGUGUGGCAGACAUCAUGGGCUAUUAGCAUGCAAAUUGUUGGAGGUACUAUCAUGAUUCAUGGUGAUGGCACUGGCUUAAUGCUUCCACCUAAGCUGGCACCUGUACAGAAAACAGGUGACAGAACUAUAGUUCUUAAUGCUACAUCAUCAGUGAAAGAAAACUCUGCAAGUAGCUGGAAUAAAGGUCAAGGUUGAUGACUCUGAUCAGAGAACACCUGGAUGGAAAUAUAACUUUUGGGAGAUGAAGGUUUGCCCUGCUUCUGUAGAUGUUCUGUAUCUUGCCCAAUAUCUAGCUUGCCAUUGGACUUCUCCCACCAAAGGAUGAGUGACAAUAAGAGAAAUUUAGGGAGAGGAAAAUUCCAAAUGCAUGGCCACAAACAUUGCAAAUGAUUUUUUUCCUGGGAAUAUUAAUGCAUGCGGGACUACAUCUAAACUAACUUCCUUGGAGCUUUAAGAUUCCUGAAGGUUAAUUGUAAUAUAUCUCACCAAGCUUGGUUACUUUUAAGACUUGUCACCUUACUUCACUUCACUUGAGCAUCUAGAGGUAUUGUUUAAAAUUAGUUUGAAAAAAAAAUCAACUUGAGUGGCUAGGUUCCAAUUGUGAUUUGUUCAACCAAAACUUUUUGAAGACUGGCUUGAAUAAUUAACAAGUCAAGUGAUAUCUAUUGAAGGCCAGCUCAACUAGAGCUAUUUCAGUGAUUGUUGGCUUUGUUUUCUGAAAGGGUAUGAAGUUUCAAUUUUGAAACGUCUACUGUUGCUGUUAACAAUUUCAUAUUUGGAAGUGAUGUGUAUGGAUCUCAAGAAAUACUAUUUUACAGUUGAAUGUAAUACAAUUGUGCUUUGAAGUUUACCUACCUUUUCUGCAGGGAGUACCUUAAGAAUUGAGAUUGGACCUCGUGAUGUGUCUACUGGGACUGUGGUCAUUUCCAGAAGAGAUAUUCCUAGAAAAGAAGGAAAAGAUUUCGGGAUAUCAAUGGCUUCUUCAAUUUUUGUUGCUUAUGUUUAAGGGUUGUUGGAUGGGAUUCGUAGUUGCCUGCUGGAGAGGGCAACCACUUUCAUGAGCUUUUUUUUUUUGGAAUUUUAAUGAAACAUGUCCUUCAAGACAUUGGUUCUUUUCUUUUGUAAACUUUAAUUACUGGUAGAUUGUUAGCUAAGUGCGCUAGCAGUAAUCUCUUGAUUCUUC